This 457-nucleotide long non-coding RNA is filed under the name Nicotiana benthamiana. Its description in RNAcentral is "long non-coding RNA (NBEN_LNC015984)". Lineage: Eukaryota; Viridiplantae; Streptophyta; Magnoliopsida; Solanales; Solanaceae. The record is from RNAcentral.
CCGAGAGGGAGCCUAGAAACGUCAAAGAUGAAUUAUGAGAGGAGUUUGACUUGUACACACUGACAAUAGUUUUUCUAUCUAUAGUUGGAUUGCUUUUUCCCUGGGACUAUUUAUGUAGUAACUAUGUUUAGGAUAGAUUAAUUUGAAGAGAACUACUGUAUUAUCGCUUAUUGUUUAAUAGAUUCAAACAUACAGGUAAUAAAAACAAUAUAACUACACUUUGUCGCCCAAAAGUGUACUUCACCAGUUCACCCACUUACAAAUGUUCAAUGGCCGCAGUGACUUCACAAAUACUUGAGACCAAGGUGAAAGGAUACUCUAUUUCCAAGUAACAAUACUCUACUUCACCAGUUUUCACUGAUACUUUGAUAUCUUGUUGCGAUCUCCUAUGAAGACUAAAUGCACCAUUUACAGAAAGAAGCAACGAUCAAUGGAAGAAAAAAAAAACGAUUUGCCA